RNAcentral lists this ribosomal RNA (497 nucleotides) under uncultured bacterium. RNAcentral's name for it is "partial 16S ribosomal RNA". It matches the Rfam family "Bacterial small subunit ribosomal RNA", at positions 28 to 507 of the family's 1533-position model. The record is from RNAcentral.
GAUGAACGCUGGCGGCGUGCCUAAUACAUGCAAGUCGAGCGAACGGACGAGAAGCUUGCUUUUCUGAUGUUAGCGGCGGACGGGUGAGUAACACGUGGAUAACCUACCUAUAAGACUGGGAUAACUUCGGGAAACCGGAGCUAAUACCGGAUAAUAUUUUGAACCGCAUGGUUCAAAAGUGAAAGACGGUCUUGCUGUCACUUAUAGAUGGAUCCGCGCUGCAUUAGCUAGUUGGUAAGGUAACGGCUUACCAAGGCAACGAUGCAUAGCCGACCUGAGAGGGUGAUCGGCCACACUGGAGGUGGAACACGGUCCAGACUCCUACGGGAGGCAGCAGUAGGGAAUGGUCCGCAGUGGGCGAAAGCCUGACGGAGCAACGGCGCGUGAGUGAUGAAGGUCUUCGGAGCGUAAAACUCUGUUAUUAGGGAAGAACAUAUGUGUAAGUAACUGUGCACAGCUUGACGGUACCUAAUCAGAAAGCCACGGCUAACUACGUG